GACGAACGCUGGCGGCGUGCUUAACACAUGCAAGUCGAACGGAAAGGCCUUGCUUUUGUGGGGUGCUCGAGUGGCGAACGGGUGAGUAACACGUGAGUAACCUGCCCUUGACUUUGGGAUAACUUCAGGAAACUGGGGCUAAUACCGGAUAGGAGCUCCUGCUGCAUGGCGGUGGUUGGAAAGUUUCGGCGGUUGGGGAUGGACUCGCGGCGUAUCAGCUUGUUGGUGGGGUAGUGGCUUACCAAGGCUUUGACGGGUAGCCGGCCUGAGAGGGUGACCGGCCACAUUGGGACUGAGAUACGGCCCCGACUCCUACGGGAGGCAGCAGUGGGAAAUAUUGCACGAUGGGCGGAAGCCUGAUGCAGCAACGCCGCGUGCGGGAUGACGGCCUUGGGGUUGUAGACCGCUUUCGCCUGUGACGAAGCGUGAGUGACGGUAAUGGGUAAAGAAGCACCGGCUAAAUACGUG
This 468-nucleotide ribosomal RNA is filed under the name uncultured bacterium. RNAcentral's name for it is "partial 16S ribosomal RNA". It matches the Rfam family "Bacterial small subunit ribosomal RNA", at positions 28 to 507 of the family's 1533-position model. The record is from RNAcentral.